This 129-nucleotide small nucleolar RNA is filed under the name Carlito syrichta (Philippine tarsier). Its description in RNAcentral is "Small nucleolar RNA SNORD22 (ENSTSYG00000024871.2)". It matches the Rfam family "Small nucleolar RNA SNORD22". From Rfam's summary of the family: U22 is a member of the C/D class of snoRNA which contain the C (UGAUGA) and D (CUGA) box motifs. U22 is encoded within the U22 snoRNA host gene (UHG) in mammals and has also been identified in Xenopus. U22 is thought to as a 2'-O-ribose methylation guide for ribosomal RNA. The record is from Rfam by way of RNAcentral. Lineage: Eukaryota; Metazoa; Chordata; Mammalia; Primates; Tarsiidae.
UUUCAAAAUAGAAUGCUCAGUAAUGUCAAAGUUGCAGGAACCUAGUCUUAGAUCCUAUAAAGGCAGGCCCACUGGGGCUGACUGGGAAAGAAGGUGAAAAUUUGUUUCAGAAGGAACCAUCUCAGGGAU